This 255-nucleotide long non-coding RNA is filed under the name Panax ginseng (ginseng). Its description in RNAcentral is "long non-coding RNA (PGIN_LNC010283)". The record is from RNAcentral. Lineage: Eukaryota; Viridiplantae; Streptophyta; Magnoliopsida; Apiales; Araliaceae.
AAUGAAGUUCCGGAAAUUGCAGUCGACUAGUGCAGUGUCACCUGUGGAAGAAGAAUUGGCAGAACAAGAAAUUCCAGCGAACAUGGCAGGGAACGAACAGAAAUCGUUUAGGGACUAUGCCAUGCUGAAUGUCACGGAUAUACAGUCGAGUAUUAAGAGACCGGCAAUCAAUGCAAACAGUUUUGAGAUAAAACUAGGAACAAUUCAGAAGCUAUAGAAUACAUGUCAGUUUUGGGGUAGUUCGAUAGAUGAUCC